GCUAUGCUAUUGUUUUCACUUUUCACAUAUUAUACUUCAUGCUCUAAAAUUGACUAUCAUUUUGCAGGUACACUGAGUAUAAAAAAAAAGGAAACUUUUUUAAAAGUGUUGUCCUCCUCUACAAAGAUACUAAAUCCAUGAGAAGACAUGCCUAAGUUGGAGAAAAAACAACAAGUUCAGCCUGCUACAAAAGACUUAUAAAGAGCCAAAAAGGAAAACACCUAUACAGUAAGCCACACAAAAAGCACCGCAAUUCCAAAACAAAUACAAAGGAUUGGAAGCAAAAGCGCUGCCAAGCAAUGAAAGACUAUACACCCAAAAGAUUCAAUUUCAAGCAAAAAAAAAAAAAAAAAACAGAGCAGCAGGCAACCCAACAACACAGAAAAGGAGGUGCAUCAACACAGAUGGUGCAACAAAAAUCCAGCAACAUAGAACAACAACUGUGUGAUAACAUGUAUGACACAAGUUGAUAAAGUGAAUGUUAUAUCUAAUAUAUUUGACUAUCUUAUUUCUUUUUAUCAUACUUUCUCUCUAUUUGUAUCCAAUAAGAAAAAGUUUAAUAUUUUUGUUUGUUCA
Molecule: long non-coding RNA, 576 nt
Organism: Trifolium pratense (red clover)
Lineage: Eukaryota; Viridiplantae; Streptophyta; Magnoliopsida; Fabales; Fabaceae
Exons: 2
Source: RefSeq, a predicted model, not a curated record